Molecule: long non-coding RNA, 649 nt
Organism: Syzygium oleosum
Lineage: Eukaryota; Viridiplantae; Streptophyta; Magnoliopsida; Myrtales; Myrtaceae
Exons: 2
Source: RefSeq, a predicted model, not a curated record
AAACGUCUGACUUUAUUUAAUCCUGCUAAGGUACAUGUCUAUUUAUUAUGCUUUUUAGAGCUUCAGCCUUCACUCAUUGUAUCAUAUAACAUAUUUCAUGGUGCUUUUUGAUAAUUCUGAAUUUGAUGCGGCAGUCUUAACUUUCUCAUGUCUUUUGGCUUUCUUACUUCGAUUCUAUACGGAAGACCGACUCUUGUCAACUUUCUCCCAGUCUUCUGUCACCUCCGUGAAUUGGAAUUGGGCACGUUUGAUGAUUUGCUCUUAGAAUCUAUAUUCAUUGUUAUGAUUCUCCACAAGUGUCCUCAUUUGAAUCAUCUGAAAUUCAUUCGGGGCAUUUAUGUGAAUUCCGAAACAGUCGAUGAGAUAUUCAACCCUCCGCCUCAGUGUUUCCUAUCGUCGCUCGAGGUGAUCGAAAUUCGAAACUUUGAAGCGGUUUAUGAAGCACUCUCGGCUAUAAAGAUUCUACUGAGGAUCGCUGGAGUUUUAAAGAAAUUACUCAUACAUCCUCCACGGGCACAGCAACUCCCAGGGAACUUGCUGCGACUCCUAAAUACCCUUCCCAGGGCUUCUGACCAAUGUGAAUUUUUGUUAGCUGUGUGAAACUUUUUCCAUGCUUAUCAUUCUGCUUAAUUGACACGAGAUUUAUUCA